CGCUGCCGGGCGGGCAGCGAGUCGAGCGCACUCGCGAUGUGCUGGUGGACCUCGAGGGCGAGGAUCUCACCCUCGGGGGACGGCCA
This 86-nucleotide transfer RNA is filed under the name Planotetraspora phitsanulokensis. Its description in RNAcentral is "tRNA-Ala". Lineage: Bacteria; Bacillati; Actinomycetota; Actinomycetes; Streptosporangiales; Streptosporangiaceae. The record is from RNAcentral.